UUUGCAUUUUCUUAAAAAGAAAAAUAUUUCAAACAUUGUUUGUGGAUUAAAGGAUACUUAGUAAACACACACUUGGAUACAUGUAUUAUAUAUGAAAUCAUUCCCUCUCCUUCCCCCCUUUCUUAUUCAAGAGUAUUCUGCAAUAUUCUUCAAGUAUUCUCCAAGAGUACUUGGAGAAUGAGAGCGUGUCUCUGUUCUUAAAACUAUUCCAUCACUUAGGUGAAAAGACCAAACAGCAACAACAAAAAAAGGGGGAACUAUUUUAACUGCUCCCUCACAAAAAAUUAAGAACAUUUCAUCUAUAGAGAUAUGUAAAGGUCUCAUCAGGUUUACAACAUAUCUUUAUAUUAUGAAAUUUAAUUUCAGUUGACAUGGAUUAUGGAAAGAUAAUGAAUUGUUAAUGAAUAUUCUGAAUUGGGUAAAUAUGAAAAUGUUUUAUUAAGUAUACCUCAACUCCUUUGUAAGUAUACUUCAACUCUUUUGUGGUUUUUAAAGCUAGGAGAGGACGUAUCUAGCUUUUUUCCUUCUUUUUUUUAGCUGUUAUCCUUUGAACAAGCCAAGUAGUAAGUUAUCCACGUUUCUCAUUUUUGCAAAAUAAACGAAUGCCAGUGUUUAUUCCUUUCUUGGUUGUGAUCUG
This 637-nucleotide long non-coding RNA is filed under the name Bos taurus (domestic cattle). RNAcentral describes it as "long non-coding RNA NONBTAT008330". The record is from RNAcentral. Lineage: Eukaryota; Metazoa; Chordata; Mammalia; Artiodactyla; Bovidae.